CUGGCAGCAAAGUCUGGGUCUUUAUUGGCUAUCGAAAAAGAGUCUGAGUAACCCUGAUCAUAUGCGAAACUCCUAUUGGAGAAGACAUUCUUCUGCAUAUGGGCGUCAUCAUCAGACUAUAACGCUACAGAUAGAACCAUAAGAUUAGUUUUAAAAUAUAUAUUUGGUUACGCUGUUUGUUGUAAGUGACCUGAUUGUACUUUUGCAGCGGAUCUGCAACAGGAAACCAUAAUCUCUUCAAGUCUUUAGUUCGUGAUUUGUUGUCCAUAGGCAAAGUAAAAGAUGGCCCAGUGGUGCCAGCUGCAACUACUGGAGUCGAAAUACCUGGAGCAGGUCGACCAGCUCUACGAUGACUCCUUCCCCAUGGACAUCAGACAGUACCUCAGCAAGUGGAUUGAGAGCAUCGACUGGGAAAAUGUGGCUGUUCAGGACUCCUUAGCAACAGUACGUUUCCAUGACCUCCUAGCCCAGCUGGAUGACCAACACAGCCGCUUCGCCCUGGAAAACAACUUCCUGCUACAACACAACAUCCGCAAGAUCAAGAGAAACCUCCAGGACCACUUUCAGGAGGACCCCGUUCACAUGGCCAUGAUCAUCUCCAGAAACCUGAAGGAGGAGCAGAAGAUUCUGGCUGCUGCCAAAAGCAUAGAGACUGACAGAGAAAACACACAGACUAGCAUGGUUCUGGAGAAACAAAAGCUGGACAACAAAGUCAAAGACAUGAAAAACAAGGUUCAGGAAGCGGAUCAGAAUGUAAAGUCUCUGGAAUACCUUCAAGACGAGCAUGACUUUAAGGAAAAUACUCUUAAGAACAGAGAACAUGAAAUGAACGGGCUGACACCGAAACAGCUGGAACACGAGAAGCUGCUGAUUGCAGAGAUGUGUUUGAAGCUGAAGAUCAAGAGAGGGGAAGUGGUUGGCCAGUUGGCGGAGGUGCUCAACAUGGCCGAGGCGGUCCAGUCAGACCUGAUCUCAGAGGAGCUGGCAGAGUGGAAGAAGAGGCAGCAGAUCUCCUGUAUCGGAGGACCACCCAACGCAUGUCUGGACCAACUGCAGAACUGGUUCACAGCGGUGGCGGAAAGCCUGCAGCAGGUGAGGCAGCAGCUGAAGGAGCUCCAGGAACUAGAGCAGAAGUACACAUACGACAACGACCCAAUCAAACAGCAGAAAGGCUUCCUGGAGGGGCGGGCCCUGACACUGUUCCGGAACCUCCUAGAACAUUCCUUGGUGGUGGAGAGACAGCCCUGUAUGCCCACACAUCCACAGAGACCUCUGGUGCUGAAGACACAGGUGCAGUUCACUGUCAAGCUCCGAUUUCUUGUGAAGCUCCAGGAAUUCAAUUAUCAACUCAAAGUGAAAGCUUUGUUUGACAAGGACGUUACAGAAAAGAAAGGGUUUCGUAAGUUCAACAUAUUGGGCACCAACACAAAAGUUCUCAAUAUGGAGGAGUCAAAUGGAAGCCUGGCUGCAGAGUUUCGCCAUUUGCAACUGAAAGAGCAGAAAGUAGCCGGCAACAGAACAAAUGAGGGGCCUCUCAUUGUGACAGAGGAGCUGCACUGCAUCUGCUUUGAGUCUGAACUCAACCAGUCAGGUCUGGAGCUCAAGCUAGAGACCAUCUCCCUGCCCAUCGUGGUCAUCUCCAACGUCAGCCAGUUGCCCAGUGGCUGGGCCUCCAUCCUGUGGUACAACAUGCUGACCAGCGAGCCCAAGAACCUGAAGUUCUUCCUGAGCCCUCCUGCAGCGUCCUGGGGUCAGCUGUCUGAGGUGCUGAGCUGGCAGUUCUCCUCUGUCACCAAGAGGGGACUCAAUGAAGAGCAGCUAGGCAUGCUGGCUGACAAACUACUGGGCCAGAAAGCACAGAGGAAUCCUGAGGGCCUUAUCCCCUGGACCAAGUUCUGUAAGAGUCUCAGUGAGAAGAGCUUUCCCUUCUGGCUGUGGAUCGAAGCUAUCCUGGACCUCAUCAAGAGACACCUGCUGUCCCUGUGGAACGAUGGUUGCAUCCUGGGCUUUGUGAGUAAGGAGAGGGAGAAGGCCCUCCUGACUGGGAAGUGUCCAGGCACGUUCCUGCUGCGCUUCAGUGAGAGUAGCAGAGACGGAGCCAUCACAUUCACUUGGGUGGAACACGACCUAUACGAUAAGCCUGUAUUCCAUGCAGUGGAGCCCUACACCAAGAAGGAACUGUCUGCCGUCUCUCUGCCUGACAUCAUCCGCACCUACAAGGUGAUGGCAGCUGAGAACAUCCCAGAGAACCCACUCCGCUUCCUCUACCCAGACAUCCCCAAAGACAAGUUCUUCGGAAAGUACUACGCUAGGGCCUCAGAGGCAUCAGAGCCCAUGGAUGUGGAGAGCUCCAGCAGCACAGGGUACAUGAGGACAGAACUCAUAUCAGUGUCAGAAGUUCACCCAUCUAGACUGCAAGACAACAUGAUGCCCAUGUCGCCAGACGUGUUUGGAGAGCUGAAGAGGAGCGUUGCACCAGUGUUCCAGUGUUGGACUGGUCCUAAGGAAAUUGAUGCUGUGACGUCUGAUCUCGGAGAGUUUUUAGCUGAAGACUUUCAGAUGUUUGAGAACACACCUGACUUGGACUGCAACUGAGCCAACAGACAUGUGGGACCUGAUCUUUUAGUUUUAUACGGAAGCCUAUUUCAUUUCCAUCCUUUACCCUCCUUGAACUUCAGUAGUCACGUUCCAGAACAAAUAUAUAUAUAUAUAUAUAUAUAUAUUACACAAUGAAUAAUUUGGUGAUAAUGUGCAUGAACAUAAAGCACUUAGCUAACUACUGUAACAUUUGUAUAAUGAAUGAAUAGGGACUCCUAUGUCUUUCCAUGCCAAUAUUCAACAGCAUACAGUCCCGUGUGGUUAACUUGCGACGCCGGGGUUGUGGGAUCGAUUGUCAUGUGGGAUCGAUUGUCAUGGGGGACCAAUUAAAAGUGUGAAAAUGUAUGCACUCACUACUGUAAGUCACUCUGGAUAAGAGCGUCUACUAAAUGACUCCAAAAAAGGAAUAAAGGGAGAUCUCAUCCAUCUUUAAAAUUAUAUCUUUAUUGUUUGAUCAUUGAAAUAAAUACAGUACCAGUAAAAAGUUUGGACAUA
Molecule: RNA transcript, 3093 nt
Organism: Oncorhynchus tshawytscha (Chinook salmon)
Lineage: Eukaryota; Metazoa; Chordata; Actinopteri; Salmoniformes; Salmonidae
Gene name: signal transducer and activator of transcription 1-alpha/beta
Exons: 25
Source: RefSeq, a predicted model, not a curated record